GCAGUCGAGCGAAUGGAUUAAGAGCUUGCUCUUAUGAAGUUAGCGGCGGACGGGUGAGUAACACGUGGGUAACCUGCCCAUAAGACUGGGAUAACUCCGGGAAACCGGGGCUAAUACCGGAUAACAUUUUGAACCGCAUGGUUCGAAAUUGAAAGGCGGCUUCGGCUGUCACUUAUGGAUGGACCCGCGUCGCAUUAGCUAGUUGGUGAGGUAACGGCUCACCAAGGCAACGAUGCGUAGCCGACCUGAGAGGGUGAUCGGCCACACUGGGACUGAGACACGGCCCAGACUCCUACGGGAGGCAGCAGUAGGGAAUCUUCCGCAAUGGACGAAAGUCUGACGGAGCAACGCCGCGUGAGUGAUGAAGGCUUUCGGGUCGUAAAACUCUGUUGUUAGGGAAGAACAAGUGCUAGUUGAAUAAGCUGGCACCUUGACGGUACCUAACCAGAAAGCCACGGCUAACUACGUGCCAGCAGCCGCGGUAAUACGUAGGUGGCAAGCGUUAUCCGGAAUUAUUGGGCGUAAAGCGCGCGCAGGUGGUUUCUUAAGUCUGAUGUGAAAGCCCACGGCUCAACCGUGGAGGGUCAUUGGAAACUGGGAGACUUGAGUGCAGAAGAGGAAAGUGGAAAUUCCAUGUGUAGCGGUGAAAUGCGUAGAGAUAUGGAGGAACACCAGUGGCGAAGGCGACUUUCUGGUCUGUAACUGACACUGAGGCGCGAAAGCGUGGGGAGCAAACAGGAU
This 741-nucleotide ribosomal RNA is filed under the name Bacillus cereus. RNAcentral's name for it is "bacterial SSU rRNA". It matches the Rfam family "Bacterial small subunit ribosomal RNA", at positions 57 to 778 of the family's 1533-position model. The record is from RNAcentral. Lineage: Bacteria; Bacillati; Bacillota; Bacilli; Caryophanales; Bacillaceae.